Mauremys mutica (yellowpond turtle) is the source of this 264-nucleotide long non-coding RNA. RefSeq lists it as uncharacterized. The record is from RefSeq and is a predicted model, not a curated record. The transcript has 3 exons. Lineage: Eukaryota; Metazoa; Chordata; Testudines; Geoemydidae.
GCCUGGUGAGUCCCCGGCUGCGUCCUGCUGCUCGGGCUGCUCCCAGCCGCUCCCCCCAUCUCUUGAUAAAAGUGGUUGAGAGAAGAUUGGAACCAACUAAUUGCUUCUUGCCUGCCCUAAAUUGGAGCUUCAUGAAGUCAUGGAUGAGGACAUCACCACCGAGUGACUGAGCACGGAUCAAAGGGAAGAGCCUGGCUGAAGGGCAACCAGCCAGCCCGUGGUGAGAAGCAUCUAACUUUGUAAGGGCACUGAAAGUGUUAAGAU